AGAGACAGCAGUAGCCGCGGUAAUACGAAGGGUGCAAGCGUUACUCGGAAUUACUGGGCGUAAAGCGUGCGUAGGUGGUGGUUUAAGUCCGUUGUGAAAGCCCUGGGCUCAACCUGGGAAUUGCAUCCAAAACUGGUGAGCUAGAGUACGGUAGAGGGUAGUGGAAUUUCCUGUGUAGCGGUGAAAUGCGUAGAUAUAGGAAGGAACACCAGUGGCGAAGGCGACUACCUGGACUGAUACUGACACUGAGGUGCGAAAGCGUGGGGAGCAAACAGGAUUAGAUACCCCAGUAGUCCCUGUCUCUUAUAC
RNAcentral lists this ribosomal RNA (309 nucleotides) under uncultured bacterium. RNAcentral describes it as "partial 16S ribosomal RNA". It matches the Rfam family "Bacterial small subunit ribosomal RNA", at positions 504 to 807 of the family's 1533-position model. The record is from RNAcentral.